Cinara cedri is the source of this 243-nucleotide non-coding RNA. Lineage: Eukaryota; Metazoa; Arthropoda; Insecta; Hemiptera; Aphididae. The record is from the annotation of a GenBank genome assembly.
AUUACGUACAAUAGAUGUUUGCUUGUGAGUUCUAGUUCGGAAUGUCUUUCGACCAAUCAAUAUAGUUGUCCAAUUUUUUUCUUAAUUAGUUUUUCUGACGAACAUUAUUUUUAUUUAUUUUAAACAUAUUUUGUCGAGUUACUUUGUGAGAUAAUCUGCUGAACCAGCAAUACUAGUUUAUAGACGGUUACGCAAGGUGUGAUUCACGUGCACCAAUUUUUCGCUGUUAAUUUUGAUUUUCCA